Molecule: ribosomal RNA, 274 nt
Filed under: uncultured bacterium
Lineage: Bacteria
Description: partial 16S ribosomal RNA
Rfam family: Bacterial small subunit ribosomal RNA
Source: RNAcentral
AGACGAACCGGACAAACGUUAUUCGGAAUCAUUGGGCUUAAAGGGUGCGUAGGCGGUGCGGAAAGUUGGGUGUGAAAUCCCUCGGCUCAACCGAGGAACUGCGCUCAAAACUUCCGUGCUAGAGUGAGACAGAGGUGAGCGGAACUGAUGGUGGAGCGGUGAAAUGCGUUGAUAUCAUCAGGAACACCGGUGGCGAAGGCGGCUCACUGGGUCUCUACUGUCGCUGAGGCACGAAAGCUAAGGUAGCGAACAGGAUUAGAAACCCCAGUAGUCC